Rattus norvegicus (Norway rat) is the source of this 1310-nucleotide non-coding RNA. Lineage: Eukaryota; Metazoa; Chordata; Mammalia; Rodentia; Muridae. The record is from RefSeq and is a predicted model, not a curated record.
UGUCAAACUGCCACUCUCUCCUUUUUUUUUUUGCUUUGAAAUCUGCCAGCUCUUGGAAUCAGCCUAGACCAGGCCCCUUGGGUUCCCAGGCUGGAGGGAGAGAGCAGGAAAGGGCUGGUGGCAUCUAAUAUCUCCCCUUCGCAAGAGGAAAAGAUGGCCUUGUAAGAACGCAUCUUAUGGAACAGAAGAGCAGGACCCAGAUAAGUCUAAUGAGACAUCUUAGCUGCCUGGUGGCCAGUAUUCUGCUUAGAAGCCUUCAGAUGAAAAUGUAGUACUCAGCUUCUCCUGCACCAUGCCUGUCUGGAUGCUGCCAUGUUCCUGCCUUGAUGACAAUGGUCCGAACCUCUGAACCUAGGAAAGAAGGUGGAAGGAACUCUGCCUUUUGCCUGCUCGCCUUCACUCUUGCUGGCAAGUUCAUCUGCUCUGUUGCUUCAGCAUUCCUUCACCAAUAUUAGAACCAAUUUCUUUGGGCUUUCAACAUAGAAGUCAGCAGCUCUCCAGGAAUCUUCUGGGCCUUCAAAUGACAAAUUGGACUGCUGAGACAUUCAGCUUGUGGGUUUAACCAGGCUCUGUGAGAGGACAGAGCCAUGUGGAAUCGUGACCGAGCACAGUGCCUGGCUCAUCUGAAGAAUCUUUUUGCUGAACUCUCUACAGAGUCCUAAGGUAGGAUAGAGCACCACAUGGUGAGAAAAAGCAAGCUUGUCCUCUUGGACAGCCCAUCUUCUGAUGAAGAUUCCAUGCCCACGAUGCCUGACUCUGUCUCCAGUGGUAUUUUAUGUGACUGUCAACUUGAAUCUAGCAUCAUCUUAGAUGCAUAUUUCUGGGCAUGUCUGAGAGGGACUUUCUAGAUGGUAUUAAUUGAGGUUAAUUAAGGUGGAGAGAUUCCCCCCAAGGCGUGGGUGGCACCCUUCCAUGAGCUGUGAUCCUGGACUGAUUAAAGUAGAGAAAUUGUGGUGGCUUCAUCCCUCUUUGCUUCCUGACUAUGGAUGCAAUGGGACCAGUUGCUUCCACUCCUGUUGCCAUGGCUUCUCACCAUGAAGGGAUACACUCUCACAUGGUGAACCAAAACAAACCCUUCGUUCCUUAAGCAGUCCCUUGUUGAGUAUUUUGUCACUACAAGGAGAAAAGUAGCUACUGCACUUCCUAGGGGCCCUGCUCCCAAAGGCCUCAUGAAAACCUCUUAUGCUUCCGCCCUAUAGUCCCUCCCCCCACGUGACUUUAGGAGUAGAUAUGGAGCCUUGGGUAGCCCUGCGAUUUGAGGCAGUGGGACAUGAGUAGACUGGAAGUGAUCCAAGAUCUUAGUAGGACUU